Molecule: ribosomal RNA, 1027 nt
Filed under: Staphylococcus aureus
Lineage: Bacteria; Bacillati; Bacillota; Bacilli; Caryophanales; Staphylococcaceae
Description: bacterial SSU rRNA
Rfam family: Bacterial small subunit ribosomal RNA
Source: RNAcentral
UUUUAUGGAGAGUUUGAUCCUGGCUCAGGAUGAACGCUGGCGGCGUGCCUAAUACAUGCAAGUCGAGCGAACGGACGAGAAGCUUGCUUCUCUGAUGUUAGCGGCGGACGGGGGAGUAACACGUGGAUAACCUACCUAUAAGACUGGGAUAACUUCGGGAAACCGGAGCUAAUACCGGAUAAUAUUUUGAACCGCAUGGUUCAAAAGUGAAAGACGGUCUUGCUGUCACUUAUAGAUGGAUCCGCGCUGCAUUAGCUAGUUGGUAAGGUAACGGCUUACCAAGGCAACGAUGCAUAGCCGACCUGAGAGGGUGAUCGGCCACACUGGAACUGAGACACGGUCCAGACUCCUACGGGAGGCAGCAGUAGGGAAUCUUCCGCAAUGGGCGAAAGCCUGACGGAGCAACGCCGCGUGAGUGAUGAAGGUCUUCGGAUCGUAAAACUCUGUUAUUAGGGAAGAACAUAUGUGUAAGUAACUGUGCACAUCUUGACGGUACCUAAUCAGAAAGCCAUGGCUAACUACGUGCCAGCAGCCGCGGUAAUACGUAGGUGGCAAGCGUUAUCCGGAAUUAUUGGGCGUAAAGCGCGCGUAGGCGGUUUUUUAAGUCUGAUGUGAAAGCCCACGGCUCAACCGUGGAGGGUCAUUGGAAACUGGAAAACUUGAGUGCAGAAGAGGAAAGUGGAAUUCCAUGUGUAGCGGUGAAAUGCGCAGAGAUAUGGAGGAACACCAGUGGCGAAGGCGACUUUCUGGUCUGUAACUGACGCUGAUGUGCGAAAGCGUGGGGAUCAAACAGGAUUAGAUACCCUGGUAGUCCACGCCGUAAACGAUGAGUGCUAAGUGUUAGGGGGUUUCCGCCCCUUAGUGCUGCAGCUAACGCAUUAAGCACUCCGCCUGGGGAGUACGACCGCAAGGUUGAAACUCAAAGGAAUUGACGGGGACCCGCACAAGCGGUGGAGCAUGUGGUUUAAUUCGAAGCAACGCGAAGAACCUUACCAAAUCUUGACAUCCUUUGACAACUCUAGAGAUA